Molecule: ribosomal RNA, 315 nt
Filed under: Triticum aestivum (bread wheat)
Lineage: Eukaryota; Viridiplantae; Streptophyta; Magnoliopsida; Poales; Poaceae
Description: partial small subunit ribosomal RNA
Source: RNAcentral
AUGGAGGUGCAGGCUGGCUACCAACGCGACACGACGGGGAGGAGCAACGACACUCGAAGGACACCACCAGCCGCCGGCGACCCCGCGCCGCGCCGCCUUUCCCCGGACCCCUGGAUGAGCUCGAGCUCCACGACGGAGGCGGCAACGACAACAUUGCUCCUCUCUGCAGAUGUGGUGUUUGUUAAAAUGCCAGAGAAAAAGAGAGGAGGACGAAUAAGAAUGACGUAUGGGCCCCACGGUCACUUAAUGGUCAAACUAAACGGUGUUGACUUUUUCUCCAUGUCAGCGCUGACAGACGGGCUCCACUUGUCAUGA